UGCCAGCCGCCGCGGUAACACGGGGGGUGCAAGCGUUAUUCGGAAUUAUUGGGCGUAAAGCGCACGCAGGCGGUGUGGUCAGUCAGAUGUGAAAGCCCGGGGCUCAACCCCGGAAGUGCAUUGGAAACUGGCGAACUUGAGUACGGGAGAGGAAAGUGGAAUUCCGAGUGUAGGGGUGAAAUCCGUAGAUAUUCGGAGGAACACCAGUGGCGAAGGCGGCUUUCUGGACCGAUACUGACGCUGAGACGCGAAAGCGUGGGGAGCAAACAGGAUUAGAUA
This 279-nucleotide ribosomal RNA is filed under the name uncultured bacterium. RNAcentral's name for it is "partial 16S ribosomal RNA". It matches the Rfam family "Bacterial small subunit ribosomal RNA", at positions 506 to 784 of the family's 1533-position model. The record is from RNAcentral.